UGGAAGAAUCAGCGGGGAAAGAAGCCCUGUUGAGCUUGACUCUAGUCUGUUACUGUGGAACGACUUGAUGGGUGUAGAAUAUGCGGGAGGGGCAACCCGCCAGUGAAAUACCGCAACCGUCAACGUUGUUUUACUUACUCGGUGGUGCGGAGAGGGCCUCGGCUCGCUUCUGGAUCCAAGCCGCCUCGCGCGCGCGAUCCGCGUCGGGGACACUAACAGGUGGGGAGUUUGGCUGGGGCG
RNAcentral lists this ribosomal RNA (240 nucleotides) under Paraphysomonas bandaiensis. RNAcentral's name for it is "partial Eukaryotic large subunit ribosomal RNA". It matches the Rfam family "Eukaryotic large subunit ribosomal RNA", at positions 2386 to 2632 of the family's 3401-position model. The record is from RNAcentral. Lineage: Eukaryota; Chrysophyceae; Chromulinales; Paraphysomonadaceae.